RNAcentral lists this unclassified non-coding RNA (315 nucleotides) under plant metagenome. RNAcentral describes it as "partial contains 5.8S ribosomal RNA, internal transcribed spacer 2, and large subunit ribosomal RNA". The stretch from base 1 to 105 matches the Rfam family "5.8S ribosomal RNA", at positions 50 to 154 of the family's 154-position model. The record is from RNAcentral.
GAACUGCGAUAAGUAAUGUGAAUUGCAGAAUUCAGUGAAUCAUCGAGUCUUUGAACGCACAUUGCGCCCCCUGGCAUUCCGGGGGGCAUGCCUGUCCGAGCGUCAUUGCUGCCCUUCAAGCCCGGCUUGUGUGUUGGGUCGUCGUCCCCUCCGGGGGACGGGCCCCAAAGGCAGCGGCGGCACCGCGUCCGGUCCUCGAGCGUAUGGGGCUUUGUCACCCGCUCGAUAAGGACCGGCCGGGCGCCAGCCGGCGUCUCCAACCCUUUUUUCUCAGGUUGACCUCGGAUCAGGUAGGGAUACCCGCUGAACUUAAGC